AAACUUAUAUAUAUAUAUAUAUAUAUAUAUAUAUAUAUAUAUAUAUAUAUAUAUAUAUAUAUAUAUAAAUAUAUAUAUAUAUAUAUAUAUAUAUAUAUAUAUAUAUAUACACUGUAACAAAUUUCUGUAGUUUUCACAGCAUUAUUACUGUAAAAUGAGCAAAUGCUUACUGUAGAACCUGUAUACAGCAUGUUACUGUAGAUUUGCAAAGCAUCAUGGUCAAUUUUCAAUGGCGGGUAAAUUCUACAGUAAAAAUAUUUUUUUCUGUGAAUCACAAUACAGCAAUUUCUAGAGGAUUUUUUUUUUCCAGCCAUGGAAAGCUGAAAAGCUACGAGAUUCCACACUUUCAUCGGAAUUUUAACUUAAGAAAGCCGCUAAAGUCAACUGUCACCGCCGACACCGCGUGCGUGCGCGUGAAGCAGUGAAGCCAGCCGACCCCGACUCGACAGAAAACGCAGCUAGAGGUAAGACUUAAUACAUUUUUCAUAGGAUCAUGAUUUUUCUGUACUUCAUCGCAGGUCAAACCGCAGAAACAAGAUUGUUGAUAGCCUAAUUUGAAGUGCCAUUCCCGACAUGUGGGAGCAUAUACUGUAUUAAGAUUUGUCUUAUGUGGCAACAUUACAUUUAUAACGUCUUCAAUUUGAUUAAAGAGUAACGUUUAGCAUUGUUGAAUAAAAUUAAUUUGAAAUUGUGUGUUUGAUGUUGACGCGGUAGCCGUUUGAAUAAUCUCACUCGUUUUUUUUUUUUUUUUUUUUGCUUGCUAACGUUGGCGCCUGAAGAAUCAGACAUUUAAGCGGGCCGAUUCGAAAGUUUUAUUCAUUCGAGAGUUUUAUUAAUGACUCGUGGAAGCAUAAUAAUAUACUCGCACUGUAUUAAGAUUUUUCGAGAUCUUACUCGUUCUUUUAUUUACCAUUUGGUUCAUUUCUUUCAGGUUUCAGCAAAGAGGCCUCAACAAUCGUUCCAGGUACAUAAGUUCAUGAACUAGCAUGUAACUUAUACAAUGUUUUUCAAAUGCAAACAAUGUUGUUUCUCUUAAGACACAAUCCCUAGAUAUGUUAAUGUUUAUGUAAACAAAAAGUGCAUAUUGAUGCUAAUUUUAUUUGUUAUUUGCUGGUUUUCGACAUAAAACUUGGUGAAUUGAUUUCCUUAGUAUUAGUACUUUUUGAACAGGAUUCUGUGAUAACCGUGAUAAUUUGUCACCAUAAUCAUGAAAUGAAAUGUUCAUGCCAUUUCAUCUCUAGUUAUGAUCAACUAAUUAUGUGUUUUUUACAGUAUAAUAUGUAAAGUACAAUUUUCUAUUAAAAAAAUUAUAUCUGAUUCUGUUCUUUUCUCUGACACACGUUGUUGGGUGUGGAAGGUUACUAAUGUGAUUGCUUUAUCUGUAAAUUAAAUUAAAUGCUUUUUCAAUUACUGAAUUCAUUGAAAUAAAAUGAAUUCUUUGAUUUGAAUAUUUUUGGCAAUGCGUCCUGUAGGUCUUAAAUUUCAAUCUUUAUGGUCUUAAAUGUCUUAAAAAAAGGUCUUAAAUUUGACUUGCUGAAACCUGCAAGAACCUUGCUCUAUAUAUAGUAAGAUUCUCACGACAGGUUUUUUUUUUUUUUCUUGGAUAGAGUAAUGCAUGAUGUUUUUAUUUACAGAUUCUUCAUCGGGAUAAAUCCAGAGCACAGCAAGUGCAAUUCAAAGGUCCAGGUUAGCCGAGGAACUGGGAAGGUGGUCCAAAGAAAAAACGAGUCCCUCAAUCCACACAUGGCAUUGUUCAUCAGGGACUUCAUUGAUUAUGACUGGAAGAACAACUAAUACCAGGUGAGACUGUUAAUUGUUACCUUGAAUACUCUGGGUUACUGUCAUUCUAAAUCCCACUUUUAACCCCAGGUAAAGGAACAUUUAAAAAAUUGUAAUUUAGAAAUGGGGUUAUCAGCGCUUUUUACCAGGGGCUCAAAACAGUUCAAACACACAAAUAAUUACAUUAUUUGUGUAUUUAUGAACUAUGCUUACCUGUAAAUAUUGUAUGGUCCAGAGCUUUAAAAUGGCUUCUGGAAGCCAGUUUGGGUGGGUAGUUGGUGGUCGCAGCUUGUCUAUUAAAAUACAUAUGUGCCCCGCCAAGCAUAAUUUAAAAGUCAUGCCGUUUCACAGCUUCAGCACUAGGUGAUAAGACUAGCACUGACAUUCUCAACCACACUGAACUGUGUGUGACAACAUCCUGUUAGAAAAUCUUUUCCAUUCACAAAUCACAAACAUUUACCAUAAAUUUUAAACAUGUAAACACAGUAUUGUGGCAGAAAAUUUUAUAAUAAUAUUAAUAUAGAUAGUUAUUAAAUAUUAAAGUAAUGACAUUCAUGGCAAAUGUAAGAAACCAAUACUGUUUAAUAAGAGUAGAGCUGCGACUCCGUAAGAAUAUUAGAAUUUUAUUCUUUAAAAAUGAGGUUGUAAAUUUUACAGAUGUUACGGUUUGUAUUAAUAAAACUAAAUUUACAUUUUGUGUCUUAAUAAAAGCUAUAAAAAAUAAAUAAAUCACCCCCCAGGGAUGCUACUCCACAAACCACCAACAGAGCAUAUAAAAUAUCAAAAAUACAAAUAUUUAUUUAAAAGACUGUUUGUUAAGCUGUUUCAUGACUAACAUCACUCUCUCUGGGUCAGCGGCAGCGCCAACACAGAUUUGAAUGUUGCGAUAUGAUUUUGUCAAAGUUUAAUAGACAGACAAAUUGAAAGGUUUAGAAUCUACGUGAUAGCUAGGUGAAUCGAUUUUUCUCUCCAAGCCCUAAUAUAUAUGUAAAUGUGUGUUUUAAGUAAGAGUUUUGGUUUAUAGAGAAGUGGACAUUGUAUUACAUAUUGAUUGGCUAAAUUAAAUGUUCCAAUCAAACUUUUAUACUGUAUAUAUAGUCAUCAACCCAUCUGUCUUGCUUAUAAACUUUUCCAUUAAUAAUUAAUUUCUUCCACUGCAGGGUAGAAGACUCCAGGCCAGGAAAUUGACUAGUUCAGGCCCGUUUUUGAAGAAAAAUACAGUUCUGGGAGAAAAACAACGUUCAGGGACCAAAUUCUACUGUUUGAAAUCCUGCUGUUUUUAAAUCAUUUAAUUUGUCUUUUAUACAUUCUAAUUUUAACCGAACAUUUUAAUACAUUUGAACAGGAUUGAUUUGUAUGUUCAGAAAAGUGUUGUUGUAUACAAAACGAAAUGAAAUUUUAACAGAAAAAUGUUACCUAUUGAAAAUUGUUUUUGCUAUGCUAUUUUUAUUUUAUGAAUUUAGAAAUUUAAAGUGUGAAAAGUUGUCAAUAAAGGGCAUUUUUGUGACAAAAACAGUGUCUUCAUUUUACAGUACACAAAAUUAAUGCAGUAAUCCCUAUUACAGUAGUAAAAUAUGUGAGGUGAUGAAACACAGUACUGUGAUUAUUACUGUAAAAAAGUUUACAGUAUUUUUAAAGUUACUGCAAUUAAGUUUACAGUAAGUAUACUGUGAAAUGAACUACAGCAACUUACUAGCUAAUUGCUGCCAGCAAGUUACUGUAAAUUUCACAGUAUUCUAUUUACAGUGUAUAUAUAUAUAUAUAUAUAUAUAUAUAUAUCUUUGAAAACAUGGCAAGGUUAGCUGAGGUGGUAACAUGCCAUGUGGAACAGAAAAUAAACUGUAUUACAUUUU
This is a long non-coding RNA of Cyprinus carpio carpio, 3632 nucleotides long. The record is from Ensembl. NCBI's taxonomy places the organism in Eukaryota, Metazoa, Chordata, Actinopteri, Cypriniformes, Cyprinidae.